Long non-coding RNA from Sinocyclocheilus grahami, 323 nucleotides. RefSeq lists it as uncharacterized. Lineage: Eukaryota; Metazoa; Chordata; Actinopteri; Cypriniformes; Cyprinidae. The record is from RefSeq and is a predicted model, not a curated record. The transcript has 3 exons.
GUGACGACUUAUUCAUGAGACAAGCGCUAGAAUUGAACAGGACAUGACUUUGUCAAGUCUAUUUUCAGCUUAAUACUUUUAUUAUACUUUGAUGAACUGACGAACUGCCUCGACGCCAAAAUGUCUGUGCUCAGAAGCAUCAGAUGCAAGCCUCAAGUGUUGUGUAGACAUCUAAUCGCGUGGUCUUCGUCCAGUCUGACUGAUUGAAGGUGAAGUUUCCUCAAGCUUCAUCGCUCAAGGUCAUCAGGAGGCUGUGGUGCAAUGUACGAAAUACACAUCGAGUCCGAUGAAUUUAGAGGAAAGAGAACAGUACAGCAGCACCA